GUCGUCGUCGUCGUCCUCCUCCUCCUCCUCCACCUCCAGUCCUUCUCCGUCUACACUCCUCCACUCUCCCGAGCUAGCGAGGCCAAAGCUCCCCCUUCCCCUUCCUGGAUUUGAUAUAACUCUGCAAUUGUUCUUCAAAUUUACUUCCCUGAUUUGCCCUCGGUUGCAGCCCGCGAUGGCUUCGUUAUUUAAGGACCAAUCAAAGCUGUCGCAGUACCGGGAUAGAAGGUUUCCGGGGUCACAAGAGGAGUUUGAACAAGCACUCUUGGCAUCAACAACUGUUUACAUUGGGAAUAUGUCCUUCUACACGACAGAAGAGCAAGUUUACGAGCUCUUCUCUCGCGCCGGAGAAAUUAAGAAGAUAAUUAUGGGCUUGGAUAAGAAUACCAAAACCCCUUGUGGUUUUUGUUUUGUCCUAUACUAUUCUCGAGAGGAUACUGAGGAUGCUGUAAAGUAUAUUAGCGGGACUAUUCUUGAUGAUCGCCCUAUUCGUGUGGAUUUUGAUUGGGGAUUUCAAGAGGGAAGGCAAUGGGGUCGUGGGCGAAGUGGUGGACAGGUGCGCGAUGAGUAUCGUACUGAUUAUGAUCCUGGUAGAGGUGGAUAUGGUAAGUUAGUUCAACAAGAGUUGGAAGCUCAAAGAACACUUGUUGAUUAUGGAACUGGAUCAUUGGGCUCUUUCCCUCAAGCCAUGCCACCUCAGUAUGGUAGACAUGGUGGAGGCCCGAAUCACGGGGGUACUCAUCGUCCUACGCAGAGAUUAUCCUCGGAAGCGGUACCGAGAUGAUGACCGCCAAUCAUAUGACAACUCAAAGAGAAACUCGGAUUAUGAAUCGCAGAAGAGCUCUGAUCUCGAAUCUAGACCAGAGAAAAAUCCACGAUUUCGUGAGAGUGGUGACUCUGAUGACGAUGAAGAUGAGCAGAAGCGGCAAGCUUAAUCAGAUUCCACAGCCGGGGGAUUGAUCAGUGGACUGACACUUUACGGCAGAUAGAAUUCAACGGUGUCCAAAUCGGAAUGUUGACUUAAUUCUGCCCCAGACAACGUGAAGACAUGAUCAUCUUUUGUAGAUUUCAUUUCUUGAAGGCCUAGUUUUUGCAUUUAGUCCUGCACAGGAGAGUAAUCAACUACAUAUAUGUUAGUAUUUGCAUGGAUUCGCUUGCGCUCGAGAUAAGGAGAUUGAGAAUGAGCAUUCUACUUGAACAUUUCACUGGUCAUUCCGAACAGCUACAGCAUGUUUCGAUAUCUAGCCUCAAAUGAUUAUUAUUCCA
Molecule: RNA transcript, 1266 nt
Organism: Pyrus x bretschneideri (Chinese white pear)
Lineage: Eukaryota; Viridiplantae; Streptophyta; Magnoliopsida; Rosales; Rosaceae
Gene name: nuclear cap-binding protein subunit 2
Exons: 9
Source: RefSeq, a predicted model, not a curated record